ACCUACGGGGGGCAGCAGUGGGGAAUAUUGGGCAAUGGGCGCAAGCCUGACCCAGCAACGCCGCGUGAAGGAAGAAGGCUUUCGGGUUGUAAACUUCUUUUCUCAGGGACGAAGCAAGUGACGGUACCUGAGGAAUAAGCCACGGCUAAAUACGUGCCAGCAGCCGCGGUAAUACGUAUGGAGCAAGCGUUAUCCGGAUUUACUGGGUGUAACGGGAGCGCAGGCGGCUUUGCAAGUCUGAUGU
This 244-nucleotide ribosomal RNA is filed under the name uncultured bacterium. RNAcentral's name for it is "partial 16S ribosomal RNA". It matches the Rfam family "Bacterial small subunit ribosomal RNA", at positions 337 to 595 of the family's 1533-position model. The record is from RNAcentral.